GAGGGCAAGUUUGGUGCCAGCAGCCGCGGUAAUUCCAGCUCCAAUAGCGUAUAUUAAAGUUGUUGCAGUUAAAAAGCUUGUAGUUGGAUUUUUGUUAAUAUUUUAUAUUAUUAAUUUAUUAUUAUUAAUAUAAUAUUAACAUAAUUCAUAUUACUUUUUAAGUAUAUGAAAUUUUACUUUGAGAAAAUUAGAGUGCUUAAAGCAGGCUUUUGCCUUGAAUACUCCAGCAUGGAAUAAUAUUAAAGAUUUUUAUCUUUCUUAUUGGUUCUAAGAUAGAAAUAAUGAUUAAUAGGGACAGUUGGGGGCAUUUGUAUUUAACAGUCAGAGGUGAAAUUCUUAGAUUUGUUAAAGACAAACUAAUGCGAAAGCAUUUGCCAAGGAUGUUUUCAUUAAUCAAGAACGAAAGUUAGGGGAUCGAA
Molecule: ribosomal RNA, 419 nt
Filed under: Cryptosporidium sp.
Lineage: Eukaryota; Apicomplexa; Conoidasida; Eucoccidiorida; Cryptosporidiidae
Description: SSU rRNA
Rfam family: Eukaryotic small subunit ribosomal RNA
Source: RNAcentral